CCGGCGCACGGGUGAGUAACGCGUAUGCAACUUGCCUAUCAGAGGGGAUAACCCGGCGAAAGUCGGACUAAUACCGCAUGAAGCAGGGGCCCCGCAUGGGGAUAUUUGCUAAAGAUUCAUCGCUGAUAGAUAGGCAUGCGUUCCAUUAGGCAGUUGGCGGGGUAACGGCCCACCAAACCGACGAUGGAUAGGGGUUCUGAGAGGAAGGUCCCCCACAUUGGUACUGAGACACGGACCAA
This 239-nucleotide ribosomal RNA is filed under the name uncultured bacterium. Its description in RNAcentral is "partial 16S ribosomal RNA". It matches the Rfam family "Bacterial small subunit ribosomal RNA", at positions 95 to 334 of the family's 1533-position model. The record is from RNAcentral.